CGAAUGCUGACAUAAGUAACGAUAAAGCGGGUGAAAAGCCCGCUCGCCGGAAGACCAAGGGUUCCUGUCCAACGUUAAUCGGGGCAGGGUGAGUCGACCCCUAAGGCGAGGCCGAAAGGCGUAGUCGAUGGGAAACAGGUUAAUAUUCCUGUACUUGGUGUUACUGCGAAGGGGGGACGGAGAAGGCUAUGUUGGCCGGGCGACGGUUGUCCCGGUUUAAGCGUGUAGGCUGGUUUUCCAGGCAAAUCCGGAAAAUCAAGGCUGAGGCGUGAUGACGAGGCACUACGGUGCUGAAGCAACAAAUGCCCUGCUUCCAGGAAAAGCCUCUAAGCAUCAGGUAACAUCAAAUCGUACCCCAAACCGACACAGGUGGUCAGGUAGAGAAUACCAAGGCGCUUGAGAGAACUCGGGUGAAGGAACUAGGCAAAAUGGUGCCGUAACUUCGGGAGAAGGCACGCUGAUAUGUAGG
This 469-nucleotide ribosomal RNA is filed under the name Escherichia coli. RNAcentral describes it as "partial 23S ribosomal RNA". It matches the Rfam family "Bacterial large subunit ribosomal RNA", at positions 1291 to 1762 of the family's 2925-position model. The record is from RNAcentral. Lineage: Bacteria; Pseudomonadati; Pseudomonadota; Gammaproteobacteria; Enterobacterales; Enterobacteriaceae.